AACUGGGGGAGAGAGAAGCUUACAGAAGCCAGCCCAGUGCCAGCUCCCUGGCAGGGAGUAAAUAUUCACGUGAAGACAGUGGGGCCAAAAGCAGCUCCGUGGAUGGGUUUCUUUACUCACCGUUGACACUGAGCUGUACUGAGCGGCAAAGCAAGGCUUAUUUAUCUUAAGUCUCACCACUUUGCCCUUCUCCUUGUGGGACCACUACCGGUGUUAAGUUUCUGUAUCUGUAUCUGCUUGCAUGGUUAACUCAGGAGUUUCAUUAUGAAGAAUUUGUUCAAUGUCAUAACAGCUGAAUGAGGGCAGCUCUCUCACUGGAUCUGAGGCUCAUGGCUCUUCUGCAUGGCUGGCUGGAAUGAAGACCCCAGGGCUCACCCUGUCUCUGCCUUCCCUGAGCUGGGAUCACCAAUACUCAAUGUAGAGCUUAGGUUUUGUUUUUCUUAGUGUG
Molecule: long non-coding RNA, 448 nt
Organism: Mastomys coucha (southern multimammate mouse)
Lineage: Eukaryota; Metazoa; Chordata; Mammalia; Rodentia; Muridae
Exons: 3
Source: RefSeq, a predicted model, not a curated record